This 263-nucleotide ribosomal RNA is filed under the name uncultured Eubacteriales bacterium. RNAcentral's name for it is "uncultured Clostridiales bacterium partial 16S ribosomal RNA". It matches the Rfam family "Bacterial small subunit ribosomal RNA", at positions 75 to 339 of the family's 1533-position model. Lineage: Bacteria; Bacillati; Bacillota; Clostridia; Eubacteriales. The record is from RNAcentral.
CUUGCUAUGAACUGUUUUAGCGGCGGACGGGUGAGUAACGCGUGAGCAACCUGCCUCACACUGGGGGACAACAGUUAGAAAUGACUGCUAAUACCGCAUAAGCGCACAGCUUCGCAUGAAGCAGUGUGAAAAACUCCGGUGGUACAAGAUGGACCCGCGUCUGAUUAGCUGGUUGGUGAGGUAACGGCCCACCAAGGCGACGAUCAGUAGCCGACCUGAGAGGGUGAUCGGCCACAUUGGAACUGAGAGACGGCCCAAACUCC